This 70-nucleotide small nuclear RNA is filed under the name Gallus gallus (chicken). RNAcentral's name for it is "small nucleolar RNA". The record is from RNAcentral. Lineage: Eukaryota; Metazoa; Chordata; Aves; Galliformes; Phasianidae.
CUAUGUGAUGAUACCCCAAUGUCUGACCACUCCGUAGUAGGUCCAUGGUGUGUAAAUGAUGGACUGCGUA